UACGGAGGGUGCGAGCGUUGUCCGGAAUCAUUGGGCGUAAAGGGCGCGUAGGUGGCCCAGUAAGCGUGCGGUGAAAGCUCGGAGCUCAACCCCGAGUCGGCCGUGCGAACUACUGGGCUGGAGCACUGUAGAGGCAGGCGGAAUUCCGGGUGUAGCGGUGGAAUGCGUAGAGAUCCGGAAGAACACCGGUGGCGAAGGCGGCCUGCUGGGCAGUUGCUGACACUGAGGCGCGACAGCGUGGGGAGCAAACAGG
RNAcentral lists this ribosomal RNA (253 nucleotides) under uncultured bacterium. RNAcentral's name for it is "partial 16S ribosomal RNA". It matches the Rfam family "Bacterial small subunit ribosomal RNA", at positions 524 to 776 of the family's 1533-position model. The record is from RNAcentral.